AUUGUCUUAGUAACGGCGAGUGAAGCGACAAAAGCUCAAAUUUGAAAUCUGGCACCUUCGGUGUCCGAGUUGUAAUUUGAAGAAGGUAACUUUGGAGUUGGCUCUUGUCUAUGUUCCUUGGAACAGGACGUCACAGAGGGUGAGAAUCCCGUGCGAUGAGAUGUCCAACUCUAUGUAAAGUGCUUUCGAAGAGUCGAGUUGUUUGGGAAUGCAGCUCUAAGUGGGUGGUAAAUUCCAUCUAAAGCUAAAUAUUGGCGAGAGACCGAUAGCGAACAAGUACAGUGAUGGAAAGAUGAAAAGAACUUUGAAAAGAGAGUGAAAAAGUACGUGAAAUUGUUGAAAGGGAAGGGUUUGAGAUCAGACUUGGUAUUUUGUAUGUCUUGCUUUCGGGUGGGGCCUCUGCAGUUUACUGGGCCAGCAUCGGUUUGGACGGUAGGAUAAUGACAUUGGAAUGUGGCACUACUUCGGUGGUGUGUUAUAGACUUUGUUGAUACUACCUGUCUAGACCGAGGACUGCGUCUUUGACUAGGAUGCUGGCAUAAUGAUCCUAAACCGCCCGUCUUGAAAC
RNAcentral lists this ribosomal RNA (568 nucleotides) under Scheffersomyces sp. DCHZ. RNAcentral's name for it is "eukaryotic LSU rRNA". It matches the Rfam family "Eukaryotic large subunit ribosomal RNA", at positions 74 to 660 of the family's 3401-position model. Lineage: Eukaryota; Fungi; Ascomycota; Pichiomycetes; Serinales; Debaryomycetaceae. The record is from RNAcentral.